CCUACGGGGGGCAGCAGUGAGGAAUAUUGGUCAAUGGACGCAAGUCUGAACCAGCCAUGCCGCGUGCAGGAAGACGGCUCUAUGAGUUGUAAACUGCUUUUGUACGAGGGUAAACGCAGAUACGUGUAUCUGUCUGAAAGUAUCGUACGAAUAAGGAUCGGCUAACUCCGUGCCAGCAGCCGCGGUAAUACGGAGGAUUCAAGCGUUAUCCGGAUUUAUUGGGUUUAAAGGGUGCGUAGGCGGCCUGCUAAGUCUGGAGUGAAAGGUACCGGCUCAACCGGUACAGGCUCUGGACACUGGCGGGG
This 305-nucleotide ribosomal RNA is filed under the name uncultured bacterium. RNAcentral describes it as "bacterial SSU rRNA". It matches the Rfam family "Bacterial small subunit ribosomal RNA", at positions 338 to 641 of the family's 1533-position model. The record is from RNAcentral.